CACAUGCAAGUCGAGCGAGAAAUCCGCUUUCGGGCGGAGAGUAAAGCGGCGCACGGGUGAGUAACGCGUGGAUAAUCUACCCUCAGGACCGGGAUAACACUGCGAAAGCGGUGCUAAUACCGGAUGAACUAGUUAUGUAAGUAACUAGGAAAGGGUGGCCUCUCGGCGAAGCUACUGCCUGAGGAUGAGUCUGCGUCCCAUUAGCUAGUUGGUAGGGUAACGGCCUACCAAGGCGACGAUGGGUAGCCGGCCUGAGAGGGUGAUCGGCCACACUGGGACUGGAACACGGCCCAGACUCCUACGGGAGGCAGCAGUGGGGAAUAUUGGGCAAUGGGGGCAACCCUGACCCAGCAACGCCGCGUGAGGGAAGAAGGCCUUCGGGUCGUAAACCUCUGUCAGGAGGGAAGAAAUGCAAGCAGUCGAAUAGGCUGUUUGUUUGACGGUACCUCCAGAGGAAGCACCGGCUAACUCCGUGCCAGCAGCCGCGGUAACACGGAGGGUGCGAGCGUUAUUCGGAAUCACUGGGCGUAAAGCGCGCGUAGGCGGUUUGGCAAGUCAGGUGUGAAAGUCCAUGGCUUAACCAUGGGAUUGCACUUGAGACUGCUGAACUAGAGUUUGGUAGAGGAUAGCGGAAUUCCCGGUGUAGGGGUGAAAUCCGUAGAUAUCGGGAGGAACACCAGAGGCGAAGGCGGCUAUCUGGGCCAAAACUGACGCUGAGGUGCGAAAGCGUGGGGAGCAAACAGGAUUAGAUACCCUGGUAGUCCACGCUGUAAACGAUGGACACUAGACGUCUGGCGUAGAAGCUGGGUGUCGUAGCUAACGCGUU
Molecule: ribosomal RNA, 826 nt
Filed under: Desulfohalobiaceae bacterium SRB55_19
Lineage: Bacteria; Pseudomonadati; Thermodesulfobacteriota; Desulfovibrionia; Desulfovibrionales; Desulfohalobiaceae
Description: bacterial SSU rRNA
Rfam family: Bacterial small subunit ribosomal RNA
Source: RNAcentral